This is a long non-coding RNA of Pezoporus occidentalis (night parrot), 394 nucleotides long. RefSeq lists it as uncharacterized. Lineage: Eukaryota; Metazoa; Chordata; Aves; Psittaciformes; Psittacidae. The transcript is spliced from 3 exons. The record is from RefSeq and is a predicted model, not a curated record.
CAGGGUGAGUGGUGAGCUAUGCUGGCUGUAGAAGAAACAAUUUCUCAACACUCCUGCAAUAGGAACAGGACUGCAGGGAGCAGUUCAGCAGUCACAGUAGACAAAGAUACUGGAAGCUGCUGUCCAUUCUCCAAGAAAUGGAUCCUGCAAAGUCAGUAAUAGCAGUAAACUUACUGCUGAAGCAAUUCCCUAGUGAAGAUACUUCAUUCCACCACCGUGAAAGCUGAUAUUAAUGAAGGGAUAAACGUGUCUUCUGUUCCGUAUGUGCAAGCCUCCAUGCUCUGUGAAACUUUCAUGAGCAGAACAGCUACAGAGUUCAUGCAGUUUCCCUUACUCUAUGCACUGUCUAGGAAACGGUCCCACUAGCUUCAGAAACACAGAAAUCAAAAUAAGA